Molecule: ribosomal RNA, 489 nt
Filed under: Triticum aestivum (bread wheat)
Lineage: Eukaryota; Viridiplantae; Streptophyta; Magnoliopsida; Poales; Poaceae
Description: partial small subunit ribosomal RNA
Source: RNAcentral
AUGGAUAGUGGUACCUCUAGCAAGAGACGAGUAGAAGCCCCGGGAGAGGGGGAGAGCAGCGGCAAGAGGCAGAAUGUCAGCAUGGGGAUGGACGCCCUCGACUGCCCCGUCUGCUUUCAUCCCCUCAGACCUCCCAUAUACCAGUGUUCUGUGGGGCAUUUCAUAUGCUCUUCUUGCCGUCCCAAGCUCGUGCGCAACAAUUGUCACUUAUGCUCUGCUGAAACUACCUUCAAGCGCUGUUUAGGGAUGGAACGUCUCAUGGAAUCAGUCAUGGUCGCUUGCUCCAAUGCAAAAUAUGGAUGCGCAGAGAAGCUCACCUACUACGAGAAAGAAGAGCAUGAGAAGGCAUGCCCGAGCGCCCCAUGUUUCUGCCCGGUGUCCAGCUGCAGCUUUGCAGGGCCAACAGACGCCCUCCUUGAACAUUGCGCCUCCCAGCACAAGUGGCCGUGUACAACCAUCAAAUACUCCGAAGAUGUUAACUUCAGCCUA